AACUGCCUGCCCUGCUGGUGGUUAUAUGAGAAAGUUAUUCCGACUUACAUGAUUAAUGGGAGCCUGGAUAAGGACGCUCAGAGAGCAUGCCGUACGUUGCGGAAGCCCAACGCGUUUUUGGUGGCACCCACCUGUGAAAACAGGGACUUAACUUUUUUAUGUACACCGCAAGGGCGGGUUUAAU
RNAcentral lists this non-coding RNA (184 nucleotides) under Nitrospirota bacterium. RNAcentral describes it as "Nitrospirae bacterium (sediment metagenome) 6S RNA". It matches the Rfam family "6S / SsrS RNA". Rfam says of the family: E. coli 6S RNA was the first non coding RNA to be sequenced, but its function was unknown until recently. It consists of 184 nucleotides that fold into an extended hairpin structure with a large single-stranded internal bulge. The record is from RNAcentral. Lineage: Bacteria; Pseudomonadati; Nitrospirota.